GUGGGGAAUCUUGCGCAAUGGGCGAAAGCCUGACGCAGCCAUGCCGCGUGAAUGAUGAAGGUCUUAGGAUUGUAAAAUUCUUUCACCGGGGACGAUAAUGACGGUACCCGGAGAAGAAGCCCCGGCUAACUUCGUGCCAGCAGCCGCGGUAAUACGAAGGGGGCUAGCGUUGCUCGGAAUUACUGGGCGUAAAGGGCGCGUAGGCGGACAGUUUAGUCAGAGGUGAAAGCCCAGGGCUCAACCUUGGAAUUGCCUUUGAUACUGGCUGUCUUGAGUACGGGAGAGGUGAGUGGAACUCCGAGUGUAGAGGUGAAAUUCGUAGAUAUUCGGAAAAACACCAGUGGCGAAGGCGACUCACUGGCCCGUUACUGACGCUGAGGCGCGAAAGCGUGGGGAGCAAACAGGAUUAGAUACCCUGGUAGUCC
This 425-nucleotide ribosomal RNA is filed under the name uncultured bacterium. Its description in RNAcentral is "partial 16S ribosomal RNA". It matches the Rfam family "Bacterial small subunit ribosomal RNA", at positions 354 to 796 of the family's 1533-position model. The record is from RNAcentral.